Oryza glaberrima (African rice) is the source of this 193-nucleotide non-coding RNA. The record is from Rfam. NCBI's taxonomy places the organism in Eukaryota, Viridiplantae, Streptophyta, Magnoliopsida, Poales, Poaceae.
UCUCAUUUCUGUGUCUAACAUUUGACCGUCCGUCUUAUUUGAAAAAAUUAUGAAAAAAAAUAAAAAGAUAAGUCGCGCAUAAAGUAUUAAUCAUGUUUUAUCAUCUAAUAACAAUGAAAAUACUAAUUAUAAAAAUAUUUCAUAUAAGAUGGACAAUCAAACGUUGGCACAUAAACCUAGAGUUUGUCUUUUU